AGCGCGACCGGAUCCACACCGCGGGUCACCACGAGGUAGUCCCGGAUGACCGUGCUGUGGCGCAUCUC
This 68-nucleotide small RNA is filed under the name Nocardia brasiliensis ATCC 700358. Its description in RNAcentral is "ASdes TB sRNA". It matches the Rfam family "ASdes TB sRNA". Lineage: Bacteria; Bacillati; Actinomycetota; Actinomycetes; Mycobacteriales; Nocardiaceae. The record is from Rfam by way of RNAcentral.